CUACAGCUGAGGGCAAAAUUAUUAGACACCCCCCCCUACGAAAUUUGAAGUUUCUUCUAGAUUUUCCCCAAGUACCUUUUUAACAGAGCAAGGAAUUUUCAACAUAGCAUUUCUGAACAUACUAGUUUUCCUUAUAAGGCACAAACUGUUAUAUUUGCACAUCAAAACAGAAUUAUUUAAGAAAAAAAUUAACAUAACUAGGGACAUUAUUAUUAGCCCCCUUUAAGAAACAACCAUUUAUUAAGUCACUGCACAAACCACUUUUGUACAAAGCUGUGCUUUAGCUUCACAGUGAUGUGCUUAAAGGUGAUCAGGUGGAUCAGGUGAUUUCACUCAACAUUUAAGUUAAAACAUGGUAGAAAAGCUUCAGUACGGCUCAUUGAGCGGUCAGUUUAGAAAGCACCAAAAACGAAAACUAAAGAAAUCAGUUUGGACUUGAGAAAAAGAAUUAUUGAUGCACACAAAGCAGGAGAAGGAUAUACAAAGCUAUGCAAGCAUUUCCAAGUGUCAAGAACUGGAGUGAGAAGUAUAAUCCAGAAAUUCAAAAACAGCCACACAGUACAGAACAAGGCUGGCAGAGGUAGGAAGAGAAAGGUUU
Molecule: long non-coding RNA, 598 nt
Organism: Sphaeramia orbicularis (orbiculate cardinalfish)
Lineage: Eukaryota; Metazoa; Chordata; Actinopteri; Kurtiformes; Apogonidae
Exons: 2
Source: RefSeq, a predicted model, not a curated record